GAUUAGAUACCCUAGUAUAUGCAUGUAUUAUGAUUAUUAUAAAUUGAAAUUUAAAAAUUUUGGCGGUUCUUUAUUAAUUAGAGGAGCUUGUUUUAUAGAAUUAACUCUUUAUAUUUUAUAAAUAAAAGUUUAUUUAUCUCCGUUACUAAACAUGAAAUUGUAUAAAUUUUAUAGUUUGUAUUUCAGGUCAAGAUGUAGCAAUUAUUAUAUUGAAUUAGCUACAAUUAUGAAGUAAUGGAAUUUUGAGAUGAAAUUUUUAAGGAAAUUGAAUUUAGUUGUAAUAUAUUUUAGAAAAAAUUUAUGAAAAAAUAUAGUGAAUGUACAUAUUGCCCGUCACUUCUGUUGGUGAAAUAGAAUAAGUCGUAACAAAGUA
This 373-nucleotide ribosomal RNA is filed under the name Nomoclastes quasimodo. RNAcentral's name for it is "partial small subunit ribosomal RNA". The record is from RNAcentral. Lineage: Eukaryota; Metazoa; Arthropoda; Arachnida; Opiliones; Nomoclastidae.